Molecule: long non-coding RNA, 659 nt
Organism: Pimephales promelas (fathead minnow)
Lineage: Eukaryota; Metazoa; Chordata; Actinopteri; Cypriniformes; Leuciscidae
Source: RefSeq, a predicted model, not a curated record
UCAUCGUCGAUAUCAGAAUACUGGAUAGCAUAGGCUACUCGUGUUCUUGCUUUUUCAGGUGGAGAGGCAUAUUAGAGCUCAGUGAGAGCCCAUAACAUUAUACAGCAGUGUUGUCUUGAUUUAAUUGGGAUUUGAGCAACUUUUCCACAAACAAAAUUCUGAUGCUGACACAGAGGAUGGAGUGAUAAUACCAGAGAUCAGCGUCUCCAUCAGACAAUAAUGUUACUUUGUUCAGACAUAUCACCUUUGAAUGACUGGGAUCCUUAUCUUCAGACACCUGUUGUAUUUUAUUUUAAUAUUAUAAAAUAGCAAAUAUUUUAAUUUCUUUGGAGCUCUAGAUUAAAACAAACACAGUACACAAGAGGUUGCAGUUUAUUCUUAUUAGUCUCUGCUGAUCAUGGAUUAGCAUACCAACAGCAUAUGAAUGGAAUAGUUCAUCCAAAAAUAAAAUUCUCACUUAUUUUACUCACCCUCAUGCUGUCCCAGAUGCAUUUUACUUUCUUUCUACAGAUAAAUACGAAUUAAGAUUUUAAGGAAAGUAAUCCAUCUCUGCAAGCCCUAAAGAUGCUUUAAAAACCACACACAGUGACCGUGAUGUCCAUGUGACCUCAGUGGAUGAAUCAAUACUGAAGUGAAACAAUAGAAUAAAAAAAAAAAAA